AGCGGAAAGCAACAGGCACAGUGGGUGGAAAAGGAAAGGGGCCCAUUAGACGAAUCUGAUUCAUCUUCUCUGACUAAGCGCCCGCAGCAGACAGUAAGCUCUCUGAAGUCAAGAACCAUACUUGUUUUGUUCACUACUGUAUACCCAGCACCUAAUAGUACUUGGCACAUAAAUACUCAGGGACUAUUUGUCAAAUGUAAGAGUGUAUACCCCUAAAGAAGUAUACAUGAAGCUGGAGACAUGAAGACAUAUAACAGGAAAAUCGGCAAAAAAUGCCUUUAAGUAUUAUAGAAAUGCCGCAGGCCUCCACUUAAAUUGAAAAAUAAGCUAAUACCUCUUGAUAAAAAAUGUGGAUUGAGACCAAGAAGCAGCUUCUCCCCUCCUUCUGGAAUGUCUGCCUGGUUCAGCCCGCCUGCCUCCAUUCCUGCCUCCCCCAUGUCCAUUAGGGUGACCCAGAAGUCCUACAAGAUGUCCACCUCUGGCCCCUGGGCCUUCAUCAGUGGCUCCUACAUGAGCAGGCCCAGUGCCUGCAUCUGCUCCUGGAAGCUUCUGAGUGGGCAGCAGCAGCUUCUGGGGUGGCCUGGGCAGAGGCUAUGGUGGGCCCAGCAGCUUGGGUGGCAUCACUGCCAUCAUGGUCAGCUAGAGCCUGCUGAGCCCCCUUAACCUGGAGGUGGACCCCAGCAUCCAGGCUGUGUGCAUCCAGGAGAAGGAGUAGAUGAAGACUCUCAACAAGUUUCCUCCUUCAUAGACAAAGUAUGGUUCCUGGAGCAGCAGAACAAGAUGCUGGAGACCAAGUGGAGCCUCCUGCAGCAGCAGAAGACGGCUCAGAGCAACAUGGAACAUGUUCGAGAGCUACAUCAACAACCUUAGGUGGCAGCUGGAGACUGGGCCAGGAGAAGCUGAAGCUGGAGGUGGAGCUUGGCAACAUGCAGGCGCUGGUGGAGGACUUCAGGAACAAGUAUGAGGAUGAGAUCAGUAAGAGUACAGAGAUGGAGAAUGAAUCUGUCCUUAUCAAGAAGGAUGUGGAUGAAGCUUACACGAACAAGGUAGACCUGGAGCCUCUCCUGGAAGGGCUGACCAAUGAGAUCAACUUCCUCAGGCGUCUGUAUGAAAAGGAGAGCAGGGAGCUGCAGUCCCAGAUCUCAGGCAUGUCUGUGGUGCUGUCCAUGGACAACAGCUGCUCCCUGGACAUGGACAGCAUCAUCGCUGAGGUCAAGGUGCAGUACAAGGAGAUUGCCGUCCACCGCUGGGCUGAUGCUGAGAGCAUGUACCAGAUCCAGUAUGAGGAGCUGCAGACUUGAAGCUAGCUGGGAAGCAUGGGUAUGUCCUGCAGCAUACAAAGACUGAGAUCUCCAGAACAUCAGCUGGUUGAGAUUGAGGACCUCAAAGGCCAGAGGGGUUCCAUGAAGGCCACCAUUGCCAAUGCCGAGCAGCAUGGGGAGCUGGCCAUUAAGGAUGCCAACAUCGAGCUGUCCAAGCUGGAGCCCACUCUGCAGCCAGCCAAGCAGGACAUGGCGUGGCAGCUGUGUGAGUACCAGGAGCUGAUGACCAUCAAGCUGGCCCUGGACAUCAAGAUCACCACUUACAGGAAGCUGCUGGAGGGCGAGGAGAGCCAGCUGGAGUCUGGGAUGCAGAACAUGAGUAUCCAUACGAAGACCACCAGCGGCUAUGCAGGUGGUCUGAGCUCGGCCUAUGGAGGCCUCACAAACCCCGGCCUCAGCUAUGGCUUGGGCUCCAGCUCUUUCAGCCUCACCAGUUCCACCAGGGCCAUGGUUGUGAAGAGUAUUGAGGCCCCCGAUGGGAAGCUGGUGUCCUAGUCCUCUGACAUCCUGCCCAAGUGAACAGCUGCAGCAGCUGCUUCCAGCUUGCCCCUUCUAUGGCUGCCUCAGACACCAGGAGGGAGGCCACUGUGCAGGGGAGCACAGAGAAUGGGAGACCCACCUGAUGCUCAGCCCUAGCCCUCAGCCCACCCUCAGUGGAGUUUACUGCCUGGCAACCCCCCUUACCCAUGCCUCCAGCUACAAAACAAUUCAAUUGCCUUUUUUUUUUGGUCCAAAAUAAAACCUCAGCUAGCUCUGCCAGAAAAAACAAAACAAAACAAAACAUAGAUUCAGUUGUUAUCGCAUCUAGUUUAUUGAGUUCCUUCUAUUUAUAUAAAUUCUUGAUUUGGUAUCAUGCUCAUUCUGAGGUGAAAGUUUAGGGAAUAAAUCAGACAUACAUUUCAGGGCAAAACCCCCUACGUAUUUAAAAGUAAUUAUGACACACUUUGUUAAACAAUUAUCCUGAAUUAUAAUUCUUAGAUAGUCUAUUGGCUUAAUUUAUUACUUGAAAUUGUCACUACUCAUUUGCCAAGUUUACAUGUUUAUUGUCUGUACUUCCUGGUUCUUCCCAGAUAGAUCAAAUGGGCAAAGAAGUCCUUCAGGGAGUUGGUAAUAGCUCUACAUGCUGAUUGGUAACUGAAAUAGCAAGAUAUGGUAGAUCUAACUGGUUAGGAGAUUUCAAUUUAACUUGCUGAACUAAGGAAGUAAUAAAAUGCAGAAUUAUUAGUAAACAUUUCAAUAUUGAUUUGGGCUGUUAUAAUAAAUUACCACUAACUGAGUGGCUUAAACAAUAAACAUUUACUUCUCAUAGUUAGGGAGGAUGUGGGGUCCAUUAUUAAGGCAGAUCUGGUAUCUGGUGAGAACUCACUUCCUGGUUUGGAGAUGGCUAUCUACUCAUUGUAUCCUUGUAUGUUGGAUAGUAGCCAGAGAGCAAGUUCUCAUUUCUCUUAUAUGGGCACUAAUCCCAUUUUUGAGGGCUUCAUCCUCAUGACCUAAUUACCUCCCUAAAACCUCGCCCUUAAUGCCAUCAUAUUGGGGGUUAAGAUUUCAACAUAAAUUUUGGGGGAACACAAACAUUUAGUAUAUAAUUAAUACAGACUAUUUAACAAAGAUGCUUUUUUUGUGUAUGUGAAGUAUAGCUGUUAUAACCAAACACCAGAAAACCUAUUCUGUAUCUGAGACCUGUUUUCCAACAGGCUAUUUGGUGUUAGGUAAUGAUAUCUUGACUUGUAAUGACUCUUGGAAUUGGGAAAGUCUAAAAUACUAUGGAGAUAUUUGCUUUCAGUGUGCCAUAAAAUUCUCUUACAGUCACUUUCUGAAUAAAGAAACCCUCUCUGUUCUGAAACAGACAUUUGUGAAGACUUACACAGGAUUUUGGUUAAUCAAAUGCAAUCUCAAAAAUAAUUGUUAAUUAAUUAGUUUAGACUAUUCUCAUGAUCUAUGCAUUAAACUGGAUUAUGGAAUCUUUCUUUAUAA
This is an RNA transcript of Sapajus apella (tufted capuchin), 3296 nucleotides long. It is a transcript of the gene named keratin, type II cytoskeletal 8 pseudogene, with no coding region annotated. NCBI's taxonomy places the organism in Eukaryota, Metazoa, Chordata, Mammalia, Primates, Cebidae. The record is from RefSeq and is a predicted model, not a curated record. The transcript is spliced from 2 exons.